Molecule: ribosomal RNA, 257 nt
Filed under: uncultured bacterium
Lineage: Bacteria
Description: partial 16S ribosomal RNA
Rfam family: Bacterial small subunit ribosomal RNA
Source: RNAcentral
UACGUAGGGGGCAAGCGUUGUCCGGAUUUAUUGGGCGUAAAGAGCGUGUAGGCGGUCUGGUAGGUCCGUUGUGAAAACUCGAGGCUCAACCUCGAGACGCCGAUGGAAACCAUCAGACUAGAGUCCGGAAGAGGAGAGUGGAAUUCCUGGUGUAGCGGUGAAAUGCGCAGAAUAUCAGGAAGAACACCCGUGGCUAAGGCGGCUCCUCUAGUAACGGUACUGACGCUGAGACGGCGAAAGCGUGGGGAGCGAACAGG